AUGGACGUGGCGGAGGACCGGGAUGUUCUGUCCUGGCGCCUCGAGCCCUCUGGACGUUUCUCCACGAAGUCCCUGUACGGCAUCAUUGCUCCCUCGACGGCCCCAGAACCUUUUAGCCUAAUCUGGGACAUACGUCUCCCGCUGAAGAUCAGGAUCUUCCUGUGGCAAUGGAUCCGUGGACGCCUCCCCUCUGGGGUUGAGGUCCUCAAGCGUAAUGGCCCGGGUGAUGGGAUGUGCCCCAUUUGUGGCACGAUUGAGGAUGCUAACCACAUCUUUUUCUCGUGCCACUCUGCCCAGUUCCUUUGGGCCUGCUUCCGCGAAACGGUUGGCGGACAGUGGUGUAAUACCAACUUUCCCGACCUGCUUGCCGAGCUUAACGCCUGCCCUGCUCGCUACCGCCAUAUUAGAUGGUUGUGCAUUGGGGUUCUCGCCUGGACGCUUUGGAACAUUCGAAAUAAGCUUGUUAUUCAGAAGGUGCCCCUCCGUCGUGCGACUGACGCAAUCUUCAAAUUGUGUGGUUACCUACAGCUUUGGCGGCCUCUUAGCCGCCCCUAG
This 555-nucleotide ribosomal RNA is filed under the name Triticum aestivum (bread wheat). RNAcentral describes it as "partial small subunit ribosomal RNA". Lineage: Eukaryota; Viridiplantae; Streptophyta; Magnoliopsida; Poales; Poaceae. The record is from RNAcentral.